Molecule: ribosomal RNA, 253 nt
Filed under: uncultured bacterium
Lineage: Bacteria
Description: partial 16S ribosomal RNA
Rfam family: Bacterial small subunit ribosomal RNA
Source: RNAcentral
UACGUAGGGGGCUAGCGUUGUCCGGAUUUAUUGGGCGUAAAGAGCGUGUAGGCGGCCAGGUAGGUCUGGUGUGAAAACUCGAGGCUUAACCUCGAGAUGUCAUCGGAAACCAUUUGGCUAGAGUCCGGAAGAGGAGAGUGGAGUUCCUGGUGUAGCGGUGAAAUGCGCAGAUAUCAGGAAGAACACCAAUGGCGAAAGCAGCUCUCUGGGCAUGUCCUGACGCUGAGGAGCGAAAGUGUGGGGAGCGAACAGG